UACGUAGGGUGCGAGCGUUAAUCGGAAUUACUGGGCGUAAAGCGUGCGCAGGCGGUUCGUUGUGUCUGAUGUGAAAGCCCCGGGCUCAACCUGGGAAUGGCAUUGGAAACUGGCGAGCUAGAGUGUGGCAGAGGGGGGUGGAAUUCCGCGUGUAGCAGUGAAAUGCGUAGAGAUGCGGAGGAACACCGAUGGCGAAGGCGGCACUCUGGGCCGGUACUGACGCUGAGGAGCGAAAGCGUGGGGAGCGAACAGG
Molecule: ribosomal RNA, 253 nt
Filed under: uncultured bacterium
Lineage: Bacteria
Description: partial 16S ribosomal RNA
Rfam family: Bacterial small subunit ribosomal RNA
Source: RNAcentral